This 67-nucleotide transfer RNA is filed under the name Ixodes scapularis (black-legged tick). It matches the Rfam family "tRNA". Rfam says of the family: Transfer RNA (tRNA) molecules are approximately 80 nucleotides in length. Their secondary structure includes four short double-helical elements and three loops (D, anti-codon, and T loops). The record is from Rfam by way of RNAcentral. Lineage: Eukaryota; Metazoa; Arthropoda; Arachnida; Ixodida; Ixodidae.
UCCUGGUUAGCUCAGUUGGUAGAGCGUUCCACUGGAAAUGGAGAGGUCCGGUUCUGUACACCAGGAC